Molecule: ribosomal RNA, 503 nt
Filed under: uncultured phototrophic eukaryote
Lineage: Eukaryota
Description: bacterial SSU rRNA
Rfam family: Bacterial small subunit ribosomal RNA
Source: RNAcentral
AGUCGUACGAGAGUUUUUAACUCAAGUGGCGGACGGGUGAGUAACACGUAAGAAUUUGCCUUUAGGAGGGGGACAACAACUGGAAACGGUUGCUAAUACCCUAUGCUUUCGAGUGAAAUGGAUUUUUCCGCCUAGAGAGAAGCUUGCGGCUGAUUAGCUUGUUGGUGAGGUAAUGGCUCACCAAGGCGACGAUCAGUAUCUGGUUUGAGAGGACGAUCAGACACACUGGAACUGAGACACGGUCCAGACUCCUACGGGAGGCAGCAGUGGGGAAUUUUCCGCAAUGGACGAAAGCCUGACGGAGCAAUACCGCGUGAGGGAUGACGGCCUAUGGGUUGUAUACCUCUUUUUUCAGGGAGGAAUAAAAUGACGUGUACCUGAAGAAUAAGCAUCGGCUAACUCCGUGCCAGCAGCCGCGGUAAGACGGAGAUGCAAGUGUUAUCCGGAAUCACUGGGCGUAAAGCGUCUGUAGGUGGUCCAAUAAGUCAACUGUUAAAUCUUGA